Molecule: long non-coding RNA, 192 nt
Organism: Hippocampus zosterae (dwarf seahorse)
Lineage: Eukaryota; Metazoa; Chordata; Actinopteri; Syngnathiformes; Syngnathidae
Exons: 2
Source: RefSeq, a predicted model, not a curated record
GGAAGCCAAUCGAGCAGACUUCGGUAUCCAAUCCAAUUACUCGCAGGCGCUUUGUACUCACAAAAGGAAAAACAAGACUUUCUGCGGUGUGCCGUUACCUUGGCACCUCCACUCAUGCUCCCAGUGCUGCCUCCUGUGUUGCCACUGACAGCUCCCGUGAACCUGGCCUCGAGAAGCUCCUGUCUCCGGGGG